Musa acuminata AAA Group (dessert banana) is the source of this 2403-nucleotide long non-coding RNA. RefSeq lists it as uncharacterized. The record is from RefSeq and is a predicted model, not a curated record. NCBI's taxonomy places the organism in Eukaryota, Viridiplantae, Streptophyta, Magnoliopsida, Zingiberales, Musaceae. The transcript has 2 exons.
CCUCAUGGAAAACGGAGAAGAAAAAACAAAAAAGAAGGCUUUGCCGAGGAUGCUCGCCCAAGUAAUUAUACUUGGACGGAGUAUUUAUGGCUUUUUAUAACAUAGCAAAAUGGGUGGACUCCGACAAUUUACUUCUGCAGAGGCUGUUGGUACGGUUGUGCCCUCGCCCCGAUCGCUCGCCUUUGCACCUAAUCACGGUUGCAAGACGAGGCGUGAUGAGCUCCGCAUCACCUCCUCCUUCUAGUCGCCUCACCGCCGCCCAACUGGAGAAGCUGGUGAAGGAAUGCCAUCGAUUGGGGUCUCUCCAAAUCGAAGAGGCUUCCGGCCUCUUCAUUCGAAUGCUGAAAUCCAACCCCAGACCAUCCAUCGGUGCCUUUAACGUCCUACACCCGACCAUCUCCCAGAUGAAGAAGACGCAACACUACCCUACUCUCCUUUGCUUUUCAGCCGGAAGAAUGGGGCUCUGAUGCCGUCACCUUUGCCAUCCUGAUCGAUUGCUGCUGCCGCAUGAACCUCGUGGAUUUGGGUUUCGGUGUACUCGGUGGCAUGCUGAAGCGCGACUGCAGUUCGACGACCGUAAUAUUCGGUACCCUCAUCAGAGGGCUCUGUCCGGAGAAGAGGAUCGGGGACGCCGCCAACCUGUUUGAGAUAAUGCCUGAGAUGGGUUGCGUACUUGAUCUGAUCACAUACAAUAUUUUCAUCAAGUGUCUUUGCGAUAGCGGGAACACGGGCAGGGCACUCUGAUUGCAUCAGAAGGGUUUUUGCAGGAAGGGAGAUACGCACAGUGUCUUCAAACUCUUCGAAUAAAUGAUUUGUGAAGGUGUUGUACCAGAUGCUGUAACUUAUGGUGCGAUCAUCAGUGGCCUCUGCAAAGAGGGAUUUUUGGAGAAGGCUUUCAAGAUAUUUCAAGAAAUGGUUGCUCUAGGGUGUAUGCCAAGUGUUUUGACAUACAGUGUACUAAUCAGUGCCAAUUGCAAAGUCGGCGCUGUGAGUAAGGCCUUUGAAAUGUUUCAGCAAAUGGUUGUUACAGGUGUCGAGCCAGACAUCGUCACGUAUACUUCUCUUAUUCUUGGAGAUUCUAGUUUACGCCAUUGGAUUCUUACAGGAGAUGUUGAAUUGAGGUCUUAUACCAAACUCCAUGACAUACAACACUUUAAUGAAUUCUCACUGCAGAAAAGGGAAGGCUGGUGAAGCACAUAAGCUAUGGAUCCAAUGAUUGCGAGAGAUAUUGCAAGAUUGGGCAACUUUCAGAAGAUCGUACACUCUUCAAUGACAUGAUUGAUCAAGGGCUGAAACCAGGUGUCUACAGUUAUAGUUCGUUGAUCUGGGGGCAAUUGCAAAUCUGGUGAGUGGAAAGAAGUCAAUUAUUUACUUGAACAGAUGAAAGAUCAAGGAGUUUAUCCAGAUGAUGUGUCUUUUAAUAUAUUAAUUGAUGCUCUAUGUAAAGAUGAGAAAGCCAACGAAGCACAAAAGCUAGUGGGUAUGAUGACUCAAGGAGGUGUUUAGCCUGAUACAGUUAUAACAUAUUUAUUAAUGGAUAUUGUUUAGAGAAAAGAAUUGAUGAAGCUGCCAAAUAAUUGAUUCUAUGGUUUUGAUUGGUUUUUUGGCAAAUGUUGCUACUUACAGUACAUUGAUCAGUGGCUUUUGUGAGCUUGGAAGCAGAUGAGGCUUUAGGAUUUCUUGGUGAAAUGAACCAUGAGGUAUUGAAACCCACAGUGAUAUCUUAUAACAGUGUUAGAUGGAUUGUAUCAGGUGGGGAUGGUUGUGCAAAAUAUUGCAUAAGAAGAUGCUUGUAGCAAAGUCAGCACGGACAUCGCAACCUACUACAUAACAAUGGAUGGACUAUGUUAAGAUCAAUAAUCAAAGAUAGCUUGUCUCAGAAAAAACUCUUGAUGGAAACCUUUGACCUUUUUUUUUGCAAAGGCGAGAUUCGAGCCUAUGACCUUGCGAUAAACUGUCAAGAUCUCAACUUGUUGACACAUUAAAAAAAAUCUUUGACGUCAUAAUAAGUGAACUUUUAGACUGAUAAAAUUGGUGCUGUAAGAGAUAUUUCCAGUGCUAUUCUCACGGAAGACUUGAAGCCAGAUGUUAUAGCAUACACCUUGUCGUUAAAGCUUUCCCUAAAGAAGUGUCACUGGAUGAGGCUAAUGAGUUGGCUUUAUCAAUGUAGUAAAUGGUUGUUCCUCACAUUCUGCCAUGCUAAAUGCAAUUAUUCGAAGCUUACCUGAGAAAAAAGAGGUGAUGAAAACAAUUUCUGUAAUUUCUCUUAAAAUAUGCUUUGUUUCGAAGGAUGGAACAUUUCAAUAGCAUUUGAAAUUGCUUCCUGUGUUUUGUCAAGAUUGUAAACAAGGUCAAUGAUAUAGUAGGAAUGUCUCGAUUACAUGCUCCACUGUCAGCUUACAA